UACGUAGGGGGCAAGCGUUAUCCGGAUUUACUGGGUGUAAAGGGAGCGUAGACGGCAUGGCAAGCCAGAUGUGAAAGCCCGGGGCUCAACCCCAGGACUGCAUUUGGAACUGUCAGGCUAGAGUGUCGGAGAGGAAAGCGGAAUUCCUAGUGUAGCGGUGAAAUGCGUAGAUAUUAGGAGGAACACCAGUGGCGAAGGCGGCUUUCUGGACGAUGACUGACGUUGAGGCUCGAAAGCGUGGGGAGCAAACAGG
This 253-nucleotide ribosomal RNA is filed under the name Mediterraneibacter gnavus ATCC 29149. Its description in RNAcentral is "[Ruminococcus] gnavus ATCC 29149 partial 16S ribosomal RNA". It matches the Rfam family "Bacterial small subunit ribosomal RNA", at positions 524 to 776 of the family's 1533-position model. Lineage: Bacteria; Bacillati; Bacillota; Clostridia; Lachnospirales; Lachnospiraceae. The record is from RNAcentral.